UACGGAGGAUGCGAGCGUUAUCCGGAUUUAUUGGGUUUAAAGGGUGCGUAGGCGGCUUUUUAAGUCAGCGGUGAAAUUUUGCAGCUUAACUGUAACAGUGCCGUUGAUACUGGGGAGCUAGGAUUUGGUUGCUGUGGGUGGAAUGUGUGGUGUAGCGGUGAAAUGCUUAGAGAUCACACAGAAUAUCGAUUGCGAAGGCAGCUCACUGGGAUGCAACUGACGCUGAGGCACGAAAGCGUGGGUAUCAAACAGGAUUA
Molecule: ribosomal RNA, 257 nt
Filed under: uncultured prokaryote
Description: partial 16S ribosomal RNA
Rfam family: Bacterial small subunit ribosomal RNA
Source: RNAcentral